This 258-nucleotide ribosomal RNA is filed under the name uncultured bacterium. Its description in RNAcentral is "partial 16S ribosomal RNA". It matches the Rfam family "Bacterial small subunit ribosomal RNA", at positions 1234 to 1500 of the family's 1533-position model. The record is from RNAcentral.
CAGGUACAGCGGGAUGCCAUGGGGCGACCCAGAGCGGAACCCGAAAACCUGUCUCAGUUCGGAUUGGAGUCUGCAACCCGACUCCAUGAAGCUGGAUUCGCUAGUAAUCGCGCAUCAGCCACGGCGCGGUGAAUACGUUCCCGGGCCUUGUACACACCGCCCGUCAAGCCAUGGGAGCCGGGGGUGCCUGAAGGCCGUGACCGCGAGGAGCGGCCUAGGGUAAAACUGGUGACUGGGGCUAAGUCGUAACAAGGUAUC